GCGCCACGACGGGAACUCCUAUUAUAGCUUUUCUAAUGGGUAUAUUCCACAAUAGUAUCUCAUUGUGAUUUUAAUUUGCAUUUCUCUAAAGCCCAAUGAUCCUGAACACAUUUUCAUGUCCUUAUUAGUUAUUUGGAUGUCUCUGGUGAAAUGUCUAUUCAGGCCUUUUGUAUGUUUUUAAAUAAGGUUAUUGUCGAAUUAUGAGAGUUCUUUGUAUACGCUAGAUACAGGUCUUUCAUCAGAUAUAUCAUCUGCAGUAUUUUCUUCUAGCCAGUGGCUUGUUUUUUCUUUCUUUUUUUUUUUCUUUUUAGGGCCAAAUCCAAAGCAUAUGAAAGUUAACAGGCUAGAAGUCGAAUUGGAGCUGUAGCUCCUGGCCUUCACCACAGCCACAGCAAUGGGGUUUCUGAGCCGCAUCUGUGACCUACACCACAGCUGAUGGCAACACCGGAUUCUUUAACCCACUGAGCGAGGCCAGGGAUCGAACCAGCACCCUCAUGGAUACUAGUCAGAUUCAUUACUACUGAGACAUGAUAGGGACUUCCUUCAUUUCCUUUUUGUUUUUCGUCUGAGCCUGCAGCACGUGGAAGUUCCUAGGCCACGGAUCAUUAGUUCACCAUUAAUCUAAGUGUUUUUUUCUGGUCUGUUAAUCUACAUUCCUAUCUUUUAACAAUACUAUGUUCUCUUGAUUACUUUAGGGCUUUCUAGUAAGUUUUGAAAUCUGUAAGUCUUUCAACUUUAUUCUUUUUCAAAAUUGUUUUGGUUCUCCCAGGUCCUUUACAUUUCCAUCAGCUUGUCAACUUCUACAAAGAAGCCUACUAGGGUUUGGGUAAGAAUUACAUUGAAACUAUAUAUCAAUUUGGGAAAAAUUAUCAUCUUACUAAUUACUUAUUGGAGUUCCCUGGCGGUUCAGAGGGUGAAGGAUCUGGCAUUGUCACUGCUGUGGCACAGGUUUGAUCUCUGGCCUGGGAACUUUUGUUUGGCAAAGUGGCCAAACAAAGCAAUUACUUCUUUAAUUUCUUCUUCUUUUUUUUUUUUUUUUCCUGGGAACCUCCUUAUGCUGAGGGUGUGGCCCUGAAAAAAAAAAAAAAGACAAAUUUAGAAAUUAUUAAUUUUGACAAUUAUGUUUAUAUUCUUUGCAAUUGUAUUCUUUCUGAAGCUCAGAUUGUCCCAUCUCUGGACAGUGGGAGUCCCUUCAAGUUGAUUUCUGAAUCCUUUGGCACAGCCUCAGUAGUUUUGUUUUUUGAAGGUUUGGAUGGUUUUCCAUAUUUAAAAUAAGACUUAGUAUAUUUUUUUUCUUCUUUCUUUUUGGCCAUGCCCACUGGCAUGCAGAAAUUCCCAUCUAGGGGUCAGACCUGCGUACCAUAGCAGUGACAAUACCAGAUCCCAAUUUUAUGAUUUUUUUUUUUUCUUUUUUAGGGUUUCACCCUCAGCAUAAGGAAGUUCCCAAGCUAGGGGUUGAAUCAGAGGUGUAGCUGCCAGCCUAGGCCAUAGCCACAGCAACACGGGAAUCCGAGCUGCGUCUUCAACCUACACUACAGCUCAUGGGAAUUCCUGAUCCCUGACCCACUGAGCCAGGCCAGGGAUCGAACCCGCAUUCUCACGUAUACUAGUCGGAUUAGUUUCCACUGCACCACAAUGGGAACUCCCCCAAUUUUAUGAUUUUUUUUUUUAAUUUAUUUAUUUUUUUGUCUUUUGUCUUUUGUUGUUGCUAUUUCUUGGGCCGCUCCCGCGGUAUAUGGAGGUUCCCAGGCUAGGGGUCGCAUCGGAGCUGUAGNCUGAGCAAGGGCAGGGACCGAACCCGCAACCUCAUGGUUCCUAGUCGGAUUCGUUAACCACUGCGCCACGACGGGAACUCCCAAUUUUAUGAUUUUUUUUUUCUUUUUUGUCUUUUUGCCUUUUCUAGGGCUGCUCCCGUGGCAUAUGGAGGUUCCCAGGCUAAAGGUCAAAUCAGAGCUAUAGCCAUUGGCGUACGCCAGAGCCAAAGCAACGCUGGAUCUGAGCUGCAUCUGCAACCUACACCACAGCUUGCGGCAAGGCCGGAUCCUUAACCCACUGAGCAAGGCCAGGGAUCGAACCCACAACCUCAUGAUUCCUAGUCGGAUUCAUUAACCACUGAGCCACGAUGGAAACUCCAACCCAAUUUUAUUAUUUUGAUGUUAUUUUUUUUUAAUUUUUUUAAUUUUUUUUUGUCUUUUGUUGUUGUUGUUGUUGCUAUCUCUUGGGCCGCUUCCGCGGCAUAUGGAGGUUCCCAGGCUAGGGGUUGAAUCGGAGCUGUAGCCACCGGCCUACGCCAGAGCCACAGCAACGCGGGAUCCGAGGCACGUCUGCAACCUACACCACAGCUCACGGCAACGCCGGAUUGUUAACCCACUGAGCAAGGGCAGGGACCGAACCCGCAACCUCAUGGUUCCUAGUCGGAUUCGUUAACCACUGCGCCACGACGGGAACUCCCUGAUGUUAUGUUUUUAAAGGUGCUCAAUAAAACUUCAAAUCUCAAAAUCAGAAGAUCACAAAUUUAAGGUGUGCAGUAAAACAACCCCAGUGGUCUUUGAUAGUAGCUUCCUUGCUUACUGGUCUGAAUGUGCCUUGGACAUGUUGCCAUUGUGUCUUUGGAAUAUAUUCCUUGAAGUAGAACUGUUAGAUUGAAGGGUAAAAGCAUAUGCAAUUUUGCUAAAUAGUGCAAAAGGAGUUAUGCUGUUUUGCAUUUCCACAAUAUAUGGCAGCCUUUUUACCACAAUUUCUUCAAUGGUUUGUGUUAAGCCUUUGGAUUUUUGCUAGUCUAGUGGAUCAGAAAUGGUAUCUCUAAGUAGUUUUAAUUUUAGCUUUUUUUUUUUUUUUUUUUUAUGGCCACACCCUUGGCAUAUGGAAGUUCGCAGGCCAGGGAUUGAAUCUGAGCCUCAGCUGUGACUUACACCGCAGCUGCGGCAAUGCUGGAUUCUUUUUUUUUUUUUUUUUUUUUUGUCUUUUUGUCUUUUGUUGUUGCUAUUUCUUGGGCCGCUCCCGCGGCAUAUGGAGGUUCCCAGGCUAGGGGUUGAAUCGGAGCUGUAGCCACCGGCCUACGCCAGAGCCACAGCAACGCGGGAUCCGAGCCCCGUCUGCAACCUACACCACAGCUCACGGCAACGCCGGAUCGUUAACCCACUGAGCAAGGGCAGGGACCGAACCCGCAACCUCAUGGUUCCUAGUCGGAUUCGUUAACCACUGCGCCACGACGGGAACUCCCAAUGCUGGAUUCUUUUAACCCACAAUUCUGGGCCCAGGAUUGAAUCGUGCCUCCACAGUGACCCAAGCUACUGUAGUGGGUUUCUUAACCCAGCAUGCAACAGUGGGAACUCCUAAUUUUGGUAUAUUUUUUUGUUUAACAGCACAUUUACUAAGUCAAUGGUAGUGAGUUUAUAUUAACAUAUAAAGAAAGAAAUUUGUCAUUAGACAUUGAAAAUUUAAUGAGUUGGCUCUGAACCUCAAGCUGCAGGUUAUUUACUUAGAUUUUUAGUGAGGAAUAAGAUGGAUUUAUUUUGUUUUGUUUUACUUUUUUAGGGCUGCAUUCUGUGGCAUAUGGAAGUUCCAAGGCUAGGGGUCUAAUGGGACCUGCAGCUGCCAACCUAUGUCAAAGCCACAGUAAUGUCAGACCCGAGCUGGGUCUGCGACUUAUACCACAGCUCACGGCAACACCAGAUCCUUUAACCCACCAAGUGAGGCCAGGGAUUGAACCCACAUCCUCAUGGAUACUAGUCGGAUUCUUAAUCCACUGAGCUACAACAGGAACUCCCUGUUUGUUCUUUGUUUGGGGUUUUUUUGUGUGUUUUUUGCCUCACCCGCAGCGUACAGAAAUUCCAGGGCCAGGGAUUGAACCACCAUAGCAAUGAUUUGAGUCACUGCAGUGACAAUGAUGAUUGUUAAGCCGCUGUGCCAUCAGGGAAACUCCUAUGAUGAACUUGUUACGACAACAACCACGUUAAUAAAAUAUUCAAUUAAAAAAUAAGGAUUUUUUAUCCUUAGCAUGGUGCAGUAAAUAUCAACUCUGGUCUCAUACUUGGAAAAUGCUUUAUAAUCAACAGAUAACUUUUAUAGUCAUUAUCUAAUUUGACUGUCAUGAUUAUUCCUGAGAGAUAGGGCAGAUACUAUGCCUAUUUUGUAGAAGGGGAAACAUAUUUUAUGUUGUGAGCCACACGGGAAGUCCAAGGGGAAACUUAUAUUUUAAAAGAUUGAGAUUUUCCAGUUUGACCCAGCAAAUGACAGAGCUGGGUUUAAAUUUUAAACUUCGAUGCACCUAGGUAUAAAUUCUAUGCUUUCUCUUCCUGGUAUUUGCUAAAGGAUGCCUGACCUGUAUUACCCAGGAGGUGGCAGUAUUCUGUUUAUGUUCUUUGGAAUUUACUUUCCCAUUGGAGAGUCUUUAAAGAAAUUGAAAACUAUUCUUUCAGCUAACAUUCUUGAGCAUAAAUUCUGUUUAGGUGUUAAAGAUAAAAGAUUAAUAAAGUUGGCACCUGCAUCCUAGGAGCUCACCAUCUGAGUGCAAGACCUAGGGCACUAGGGUUAAAAGCCUACAAAAAUUUUGUACAAAAUGCUACUGGGAUACAGAUUUAUAAUGAGCUUUUUGAGGUAGUGUCUUUUUAUGUGAUAAUGGGGUAUGUGAUAAUUUUAUCUAGUACACAGAUGAUAGACCUGAGUAAAUUUAAGCUGUCUGAUUUCCUAAUGACCAAAAACAAAAAAACAAAAACAAAAA
RNAcentral lists this long non-coding RNA (4723 nucleotides) under Sus scrofa (pig). RNAcentral describes it as "lncRNA (ENSSSCG00015040149.1)". Lineage: Eukaryota; Metazoa; Chordata; Mammalia; Artiodactyla; Suidae. The record is from RNAcentral.